CACUCAUGCCACACGGCCAGGAAGUGACUGUUUAGGAUUCGUAUAAAAAAGCUCGGGGAGGCCGACUGGGUUUCAUUCGGCUCCAUUCGAGUUCCUCUUGGCUCACCUCCGCUUUGCAAAUUCAGGUUUUCCUACCCAGUUUUCAAAAACAUGUCUCAGUGUAAGCAAUCAUGCAAAGCACCCCCUACCGUCGAACCCUGCUGCUCACCCAAGUGCCCUCCAAAGACUGCUGUGAAGUGUCCCCCCAAAACCGUUGAAUGCUGCCCUCCAAAGACCGUGGAGAAAUGUCCCCCCAAGUCCAAACAGCCUCCCAGGGGGUGUUGUUAACCCUCCCACCAGUGGCCGGAAAUGAAAAACCAGUCUUACAUGUAUAGCACGAGACAUCUUGGUAACAUUCCAUGUUGCUUUGCUUUGGGAAGCCGCUGAGGGUUUUCUUUCCUGCGUCAUUCCUGAUACCAUCUGCUCUGAUGCCGCUUGUUCCCAAGGACCACAUCCUUAGAUGUCCCAGAUGCCAUCUGGUGGAACCACAUUCUGUUGGCUGGCUAAGUUCUUGCUUGGAACAUCAUCCUUGGCAAGGGAGGACUAUUCUACAGGUGUUGCAGAAAGCUCUGUGUUGGAUGUGGGGAAUCGUCUGCUGUUGCCAACAACUCUCAUGCGUGGGUGUGCCGCAAUAAAAUUAUUCACUACCUCGCA
Sphaerodactylus townsendi is the source of this 693-nucleotide long non-coding RNA. RefSeq lists it as uncharacterized. Lineage: Eukaryota; Metazoa; Chordata; Lepidosauria; Squamata; Sphaerodactylidae. The transcript is spliced from 2 exons. The record is from RefSeq and is a predicted model, not a curated record.